Molecule: long non-coding RNA, 916 nt
Organism: Homo sapiens (human)
Lineage: Eukaryota; Metazoa; Chordata; Mammalia; Primates; Hominidae
Exons: 3
Source: RefSeq, a predicted model, not a curated record
GCUGGCCAGUGAUCUAUCAGGGCUGGCCUAGUGAGAACACGGCCAAUCAGAUGCUUUCCUGGAACCCGGGGCCAAAGCUGCCCCAGGGGAGUGUGGUAGCCGCAGGCAGAAGGGCUAGCCCGGAGACAGGAGGGGGAGGUCCGAGGAGGGGAUCCCGGCGAGGGAGACGCGGGGCGAGUGGCCUGGGCUCCUCCUUGGCUUGACCCAGCUUAGACUUUCUCAAACCGAAGUCAUUCUCGCUGGCUCCUGGCGACUCUCAUCCUGUCCGCUGUCACCCUUUCGUGAUUGACCUGAAAUCACUUCGUCACUGCAGCCGCACCCUAAGCAUUCAUCUCAUAUCUGUGAUGUUUGCUGUGCUCCUUAUGUUUGCUCUAAUAUGGGUUAAACCAAAUUCAACACCAUCAAAAUAAUGUUCUUCCAUUUGCACACCCACUUUCACAGUAGCAGCGUUCCCAACAGCCAAAAGGUGGGAGCAGCCCACGGGUCCACGGACGGGUGAAGGGGUGAGCAAACAGUCUAUACGGACAGUGGAGAGCUCUUUAACCGCAGAAAGAAGGAAAUUCUGCAUAUGCUGCAACAUGGAUGAAAGACACAGAGUCUGGCUCUGGGGCCCAGGCUUGAGUGCAGUGGUGAGACGGGAGAAUAAGUCCUAGAGGAAGGGAACCUGAGGACUUCCCAGAACUAAAUCAGAUGGAGAGGAGAGAGGAGGCAUUUCAGCUACGACAGGAAAUAUCCUCUUCAUUUGCAUAGGGCGUUCACCAAGGUGCACACCAAAUAACCAAUGGAAACCUCUAGAGAGUAUUUAAACUCCAGAAAAUUCUGUGACGGGCUCUUGAGCCAACGUGCUCCGGCCGCUCCCACUCUGUGCAGUCGACUGUACUUUUGUUUUCAAUAAAACUCUGCUUUUGUUUCUUCA